AUGCCCAAUAUGUCAAACCUGCAAAGGCCAGGGUUAUACAUGCCUUUGCCUGUCCCUGUCGCUCCAUGGGAGGACAUCUCUAUGGACUUUGUCUUGGGCUUGCCAAGAACAAGACGAGGAAGUGAUGUUGUAUUUGUGGUCGUGGAUAGAUUCUCUAAGAUGGCUCAUUUCAUCCCAUGCCGCAAAACAACAGAUGCUCAUCAUGUGGCAAACCUAUUCUUUCGAGAAGUGGUCAGACUUCAUGGAGUAGUAGUACCAAGGUCCAUCGUCUCAGACCGUUAUAGCAAGUUUCUUGCUGCAUUUUGGCUCACUUUGUGGAAGCAAUUCAACACUGAAUUGAAAUUUUCUAGCGCUGCUCAUCCACAAACAAAUGGACAAACGGAAGUGGUGAACAAGUUUUUGGGUAAUCUGAUCCGUUGCAUUUGUGGAGAAAGAAAGGGACAAUGGGAUUUGGCUUUAUCUCUUGCAGAAUUCUCCUACAAUAACUCAAAGCAUAGAUCCACAGGAAGGAGCCCUUUUUCCAUUGUCUACACUAAAGUUCCAUCACAUGUGGUGGACCUGGUGAAGCUACCAUCAAGGGGAAACUCAAAAUCAGCAUUGUCCUUUGCUGAUAAUUACACCGAGUUAUUUGAAGAGAUUUGCGGUGCUUUGGAAGCACAAAAUCAGAAAUAUAAACAACUUGUUGAUUGCAAAAGGAGGCCAAAAUCAUUCCAAGACGGUGAUAAGGUGAUGGUCUACCUCCGAAAAGAGAAGCUGCCUUUAGGUGUUAAAGGGAAACUUAGGCAGCGAAGAAGAGUACAUUUGCAAAAUGACUAA
Molecule: ribosomal RNA, 816 nt
Filed under: Triticum aestivum (bread wheat)
Lineage: Eukaryota; Viridiplantae; Streptophyta; Magnoliopsida; Poales; Poaceae
Description: partial small subunit ribosomal RNA
Source: RNAcentral